GAACCGCCAAACGUUAUUCGGAAUUACUGGGGCUUAAAGGGGUGCGUAGGCGGCGCGAUAAGUCGGGUGUGAAAUCCCUCAGCUCAACCGAGGGAACUGCGCCCGAUACUGUCGUGCUUGAGGGAGGCAGAGGUGAGCGGAACUGAUGGUGGAGCGGUGAAAUGCGUUGAUAUCAUCAGGAACACCGGUGGCGUAAGCGGCUCACUGGGCCUCUUCUGACGCUGAGGCACGAAAGCUAGGGGAGCGAACGGGAUUAGAUACCCCGGUAGUCCUAGCUGUAAACGAUGAGCACUUGGUCGGAGGAUCCUCCAUAGUUUUCCGGCCGUAGCGAAAGUGUUAAGUGCUCCGCCUGGGGAGUAUGGUCGCAAAGGCUG
This 374-nucleotide ribosomal RNA is filed under the name uncultured organism. RNAcentral describes it as "partial 16S ribosomal RNA". It matches the Rfam family "Bacterial small subunit ribosomal RNA", at positions 528 to 896 of the family's 1533-position model. The record is from RNAcentral.